AUACUUACCUGCCAGGAGAGAUACCAUGAUCAUGAAGAUGGUUUUUACAGGGUGAGGGUCAGGCUCAUCCAUUGCACUCCAGAUUUCCCCAAAGGUGGGACACUCAGCUGUGGUAGUGGGGGACUGCGUCCAUGCUCUCUCCUU
Molecule: small nuclear RNA, 144 nt
Filed under: Nannospalax galili (Upper Galilee mountains blind mole rat)
Lineage: Eukaryota; Metazoa; Chordata; Mammalia; Rodentia; Spalacidae
Description: U1 spliceosomal RNA (ENSNGAG00000002904.1)
Rfam family: U1 spliceosomal RNA
About the family: U1 is a small nuclear RNA (snRNA) component of the spliceosome (involved in pre-mRNA splicing). Its 5' end forms complementary base pairs with the 5' splice junction, thus defining the 5' donor site of an intron. There are significant differences in sequence and secondary structure between metazoan and yeast U1 snRNAs, the latter being much longer (568 nucleotides as compared to 164 nucleotides in human).
Source: RNAcentral